GGGGUCGUAGUAUAACCUGGUUAGUACUCAAGGUUUGGGACUUUGAAAUCUGAGUUCAAAUCUCAGCGACCCCA
RNAcentral lists this transfer RNA (74 nucleotides) under Candidatus Pacearchaeota archaeon. Its description in RNAcentral is "tRNA-Pro". It matches the Rfam family "tRNA". Rfam says of the family: Transfer RNA (tRNA) molecules are approximately 80 nucleotides in length. Their secondary structure includes four short double-helical elements and three loops (D, anti-codon, and T loops). The record is from RNAcentral. Lineage: Archaea; Nanobdellati.